CUCAACCAUAUCUUCUAUCCAUUUAACAUAAUGUAACUUAAAUGACUCAGCUACUUUGAACACGAGCCUAUUGCAAUUCAGAGUGACUUUAAAACAGCUUAGCAAAGUUUUCUUCGAUCCCAGCUUGAAACAUUUUGGACAUAUUCAUGAAACUCAGAAAUCACUCAACUAACUUAAACUAUUACCUGAUAUUCAACUAACAGAAAAUAUUAACUAACUCAAUAGGGCAUUAUUACCACCAAUAUUCGACCAAAACUCGUAUGUAUUUCUACAUUCCUAACACACACUUGAUAGACUAAAUGAAUAAACUCAUGUUCAACAGUUCAUCAGUCCAAUUUAUACAUUCCAGAAUCAGUCUAAUACACAACAUGCCAUAUCGAAUAAACUAUUGUUUUACACAUUGAAAUCAGACAAACAAAAGGAGUCCAGAGUUCUGCUUCACGCAACAUUUCUACUUUAUUUCCAUAAACUUGAAGGAUUUAGAAUAUGUACCUGGAUAAUGGAAAUACCAGAAGAAAAAGAGGAAGUCAGUAGCAGGUAACAACACAGCAACAACAGCAACCCAGCAACAACAAUUCAAACCAAAUUCGAAGCCCAAAAAAUUGAAUAAAACCAAACAAGCUAGAUAUAACAGCCCCAAAAUAAUACCAAAACUUAAGUUUGAACACAGGGACUGAAAUGCAAACAACCAACUUUUCUUUUUAAUGUAACGAUAACCUUUCCUCACUCUCAAAAUUGAAAUGUUAAGAGCUUUUGACCUUUCUCUGAACUGAUAAAAAAACGAUGCUCUUAAGAAUUCUCAAAAUGUUGUCUAAGAACUCUUCAAACUCUCUUUCAAUGCUUUUAGAAGUAUUCCCAAACUCUCAACACUCUAUUUUUUGUAUUCAAGCUUUGAAAUCUUUAACUCUUUAAAAUUCCCCUUUAAUUGAUUAAAAAACUCCAUCUUACUCUGUCCU
Molecule: long non-coding RNA, 956 nt
Filed under: Nicotiana benthamiana
Lineage: Eukaryota; Viridiplantae; Streptophyta; Magnoliopsida; Solanales; Solanaceae
Description: long non-coding RNA (NBEN_LNC016106)
Source: RNAcentral